UUAACUCGAAUUUGUAUGGAGUUGAAAUGUUUGCCUGCGCUUGCCGCUAGGGGCGCUGUUCCAACUACAUACAAAUUUGAGUUA
This 84-nucleotide microRNA precursor is filed under the name Bombyx mori (domestic silkworm). RNAcentral's name for it is "mir-2807 microRNA precursor family". It matches the Rfam family "mir-2807 microRNA precursor family". The record is from Rfam by way of RNAcentral. Lineage: Eukaryota; Metazoa; Arthropoda; Insecta; Lepidoptera; Bombycidae.